GAUGAACGCUAGCGGCAGGCUUAAUACAUGCAAGUCGAGGGGCAGCAGGACUGUAGCAAUACAGUUGCUGGCGACCGGCAAACGUGUGCGGAACACGUACGCAACCUAUCCAAAACUGGGGGAUAGCCCGGGGAAACCCGGAUUAAUACCUCGUAACCUUUUUAAGUGGCAUCACUUGAUAAGUAUAGCUCCGGCGGUCUUGGAUGGGCGUGCGCCUGAUUAGGUAGUUGGUGCGGGUAACGGCCCACCAAGCCUGCGACCAGUAACUGGUGUGAGAGCACGACCAGUCAGACGGGCACUGAGACACAGACCCGACUCCUACGCGAGGCAGCAGUAAGGAAUAUUGGGCAAUGGACGCAAGUCUGAACCAGCCAUGCCGCGUGAAGGAUGAAGGUCCUCUGGAUUGUAAACUUCUUUUAUGGGGGACGAAACCCGGAUAUUCUUAUCCGAUUGACGGUACCUCAGGAAUAAGCACCGGCUAACUCCGUG
Molecule: ribosomal RNA, 489 nt
Filed under: uncultured bacterium
Lineage: Bacteria
Description: partial 16S ribosomal RNA
Rfam family: Bacterial small subunit ribosomal RNA
Source: RNAcentral